CUUCGGACACUCUUCAAGGUUCUGCAUGGUUGUCGUCAGCUCGUGCCGUGAGGUGUCGGCUUAAGUCCCAUAACGAGCGCAACCCUUACCGUUAGUUACCAUCAGGUUAGUGCUGGGGACUCUAGCGGGACUUCCACCGUAAGGUGAGAGGAAGGUGGGGAUUGACGUCAUAUCAGCACGGCCCUUAUGUUCAGGGCUACACACGUGUUACAAUGGCCAGUACAAAGGGCAGCUACUUGGUGACAAGAUGCUAAUCUCUAAAGCUGGUCUCAGUUCGGAUCGAAGUCUGCAACCCGACUUCGUGAAGCUGGAUUCGCUAGUAAUCGCGCAUCAGCCAUGGCGCGGUGAAUACGUUCCCGGGCCUUGUACACACCGCCCGUCAAACCAUGGAAGUGGGGGGUACCUGAAGUCUGUCAC
This 417-nucleotide ribosomal RNA is filed under the name uncultured bacterium. Its description in RNAcentral is "bacterial SSU rRNA". It matches the Rfam family "Bacterial small subunit ribosomal RNA", at positions 1020 to 1434 of the family's 1533-position model. The record is from RNAcentral.